GUGGGGAAUAUUGGACAAUGGGGGGAACCCUGAUCCAGCCAUGCCGCGUGUGUGAAGAAGGCCUUUUGGUUGUAAAGCACUUUAAGCGAGGAGGAGGCUACCGAGAUUAAUACUCUUGGAUAGUGGACGUUACUCGCAGAAUAAGCACCAGCUAACUCUGUGCCAGCAGCCGCGGUAAUACAGAGGGUGCAAGCGUUAAUCGGAUUUACUGGGCGUAAAGCGCGCGUAGGUGGCCAAUUAAGUCAAAUGUGAAAUCCCCGAGCUUAACUUGGGAAUUGCAUUCGAUACUGGUUGGCUAGAGUAUGGGAGAGGAUGGUAGAAUUCCAGGUGUAGCGGUGAAAUGCGUAGAGAUCUGGAGGAAUACCGAUGGCGAAGGCAGCCAUCUGGCCUAAUACUGACACUGAGGUGCGAAAGCAUGGGGAGCAAACAGGAUUAGAAACCCUUGUAGUCC
RNAcentral lists this ribosomal RNA (451 nucleotides) under uncultured bacterium. RNAcentral describes it as "partial 16S ribosomal RNA". It matches the Rfam family "Bacterial small subunit ribosomal RNA", at positions 354 to 796 of the family's 1533-position model. The record is from RNAcentral.